UACGUAGGGUGCGAGCGUUAAUCGGAAUUACUGGGCGUAAAGCGCGCGUAGGCGGCUUUGUAAGUUAGAGGUGAAAGCCCGGGGCUCAACUCCGGAACUGCCUUUAAGACUGCAUCGCUUGAAUCCGGGAGAGGUGAGUGGAAUUCCGAGUGUAGAGGUGAAAUUCGUAGAUAUUCGGAAGAACACCAGUGGCGAAGGCGGCUCACUGGACCGGUAUUGACGCUGAGGUGCGAAAGCGUGGGGAGCAAACAGG
Molecule: ribosomal RNA, 253 nt
Filed under: uncultured bacterium
Lineage: Bacteria
Description: partial 16S ribosomal RNA
Rfam family: Bacterial small subunit ribosomal RNA
Source: RNAcentral